Molecule: ribosomal RNA, 2974 nt
Filed under: Triticum aestivum (bread wheat)
Lineage: Eukaryota; Viridiplantae; Streptophyta; Magnoliopsida; Poales; Poaceae
Description: partial small subunit ribosomal RNA
Source: RNAcentral
GUGCGAAAGCCAUGUAGCCACCGGCGUGGUAGAGUGCUGCCGCUGGGUUUCUUUGUGCAAUUCUGGGCCUGGUAACACGAGAGGUUUGCGCAUGGUCAAGUAGCAGUCAUAGGUGGUUGGUAUUUAUUAGUCCAUCGUCGUGGUCGUGCCUAGGCGCCGUCGUGGUCGCUACCGUCUCAAGAGCACCGAGUGCCGCGAUCCCAAGCAGAAGGACUGGAAGUUGAGGCCGUACCGGCAGAUGGCGAGGUUGCCGCUGCGCCCCAGGCAGUAGAAGCAGCGGUAGAGGAUGGAGCUGGAGCACCGGGAGAAGCGGACGGACGCGGAGAUGCUCGCGGAGCUGGCGGUGAGGGGAGCGGCCCUCGCCUAGUUCCGGCGGCAGACCCGCGAGUGGUGCGACGAGUGGCAGUACAAGUGGAUGUUUCAGCGGCUCCAGUACGGCGAGCGGCAGUUCGAGGAGCAGACCCGCUACCGGCGGCGGUGGUGGAAGCCGCCGAAGAUGCAGAAGAAGCAGGUGCUGCUGUUCGUCAUGGUCGUCGACGUCCUGCGCAGCCGCCGGCGGCUCGCGCCCCUGCAGCGGUUGAUCAUCGACAUGAUCUGCCGCCGCCCCGCGAACGGCGGCGCUCCAUGCACGAAGCCACGAUUGUCGCCGCACCCCGCAAUCUAGACCCCCGUUUGAUGAUCCAGCAAGGACAUAGAACCGACAAGGAGAAGCGAAAAAAACGGCCGAACGACAGUGUACGAGACGAAACCGAACGGCCACACGAGCCUAAUCGUCUAGACCUUAAACCGGUGGCCGUCUCCUCUAGACAGGUCAAACUAAUAUACGAACAACUAGUGUAACUAUUAACACACGGGACAACUCUUCACUCAAACACAAUUAAUAUCAAGGACUAACCUGGUGGUUUAACCCGCACACAGGCGGUGCUCCUCCUUCUUUGACGCUGUCGAAUUCCAUUCAACUCACCUAACGUUAACACAUUCCCGAGAUAAACGUAGUCCUCCUCCCAUCCCCUUGUCUACGACUCCCUCAUAUCUCUUCUUUGGUCUCUUUUCGGUAUCAGACGCUUUCACCUACUAGGGAACCAUGUCUCCACCACAACUUUGACGUCUAUCAAAGGAACUUAAACACACUUUUGUCACUUAACAGCACUGAUUGGUGUUCAACUGUUGAGGUGCCCUUGAAAUCUAACUUGUACACCGGUGACCUUUAAACUAGUUGCUUGCCUUUUAUAAAGUUGGCAUGAACUCCAUAUACUCUCGUUCUCAGCUUUAGUCAGUUGGUAACCACCGGAGUAGUCGCACGCUAACAAAAACAUGAUAGAAUUUCUAAAGUCGACUAAAUACAGGCACGAACGUUUCUCACAGACCUAACGAGAAUGGUGGACCUAUUUAUAGAAAAGUACCUAGUAAGUUCUUUGAACUUCACGUCUAUAGGAAGUAUGAGGUGGAAAAGAACAGUUCUUUUAUACUGAUUCUGUUAUUUACCCGUUAUAAAGUUGACCUAAACUCUAUCCUCUAGUUCUCAGUUUAAGUAAGUUGGUAACCACCGGAGUAGUCGCAAGUUAACAUAAAACGUGAGAGAAUUUCUAAAGUCGACUAAAUACAGGGACGAACGCUUCUCGUCGACCAAAUGAGAGUUGAACUGCGUCUUCAUACCUACGACCCUUGGUGCAGUGGAGGACCUACUUCCUCUAGUAAAGUGCCAAGUAAAUUCUUUUAACCGUUUCACGUCUCUAGGAAGUAUAUUGAAGUUCUUUUAUUCUGUUCUGUUCUAACACACGUCUCUGACCUCUCGGUCUUAUUAUUUCUCAUCUCUUCAACAAGUGCAGUCUUCUUGUUACUCCUCCCUUGAACAAGUACAAACGAAAAGACAAAUGGUCAUAUGGCUACUUGACAAGCAUUACUUUUAUGUUCGUGUCUGAUUCUGUCGAGUAACUAUUGAUACACAUCACCCUCGAUCCUUUCACAGUAACCUUAAAUAAUAGUCGUCAUUACCUACUGUGUAUGUUCUCUUAACUAUGUUCUUUUAAAUGUUUCGUCGCCUACACGUUCGUCUUUGUUUAUAUAAUGUCGAUACUGUUACGACUACGGUCACGGUUAAGGCUACGAUUAAGAAACAGUGUAAUGGGCCGUUCGGCUGUCGUUCCACUCAACGUUCCCUUCUCUUUUCCGGUUCUAUAUUAUUGGGGAUCAACGGGUUUAUAUUAAACGGCAGCGACAACGGACUCCAUACACGACGCGACAUCGUUCACGUGUCGGACGGGAUAAAUGCGCAAAUUCAACUUAUUUAAGGUGAUAGACGCUCGAUAUUCGACAUCGGAAAUAUAUUUGACAUAAUACAGAUAGAUACUAAUAUAGCAUACAACAAGUACAGACAUUGACAGCAAGUACCGACCCAAUUCAUGCAUAACAUGUGAUGACCGAAGAUGACAGCAAACGAGGAGCAACAUUAUAAUCCCCCAAGUAGUAGCCUAUAAGUACCAGACAUAAGUCAUAAAGACAUAUUUUACCCACGGAGACACGACAGGAUCAUUAUCACGUAAUAGGACCUCUACGAGACAUAAGGCAAGUAGAGAAAAAGCAGUUGAGAGAAACCGUUGAAAUAAUAUAAAUAAUAAAAGUAUUGUUCAGACAGGUAAACCUCAUCAGAAAACACCCCCGCAGUCCGAAUAUCGGCCGUCGUUACACGUAUUGGACAGUUGUUUCCGUCGUCGCCGACGUUGCUGGUCAAGUAUGCCGACGCACGUUGUCAGGUUACACGUGUCAGGUUACGACUCUCAAAGUUCAAAAGAAACGCACUAUCACGUUCUCCGUCCUAGCUACUCCGAUGGUUCUUUGUGGAAGGAACGUCGUUCCCAACACGAUAUCAUCUUGAACUGUUUGGCUGCUGGUACUAAACGACUAUCUACUCACGAGCGACCAGCGAAGGGAACGGGUUGGACUCUGGCGUGAAACCAAUAAAAUAUAUGGGAGC